RNAcentral lists this ribosomal RNA (436 nucleotides) under uncultured bacterium. RNAcentral's name for it is "partial 16S ribosomal RNA". It matches the Rfam family "Bacterial small subunit ribosomal RNA", at positions 29 to 507 of the family's 1533-position model. The record is from RNAcentral.
AGCGAACGCUGGCGGCAGGCUUAACACAUGCAAGUCGAGCGGGCAUCCUUGUGGUGUCAGCGGCAGACGGGUGAGUAACGCGUGGGAACGUGCCCUUCGGUUCGGAAUAACUCAGGGAAACUUGAGCUAAUACCGGAUACGUGCGAGAGCAGAAAGGUUUAUCUGCCGAAGGAUCGGCCCGCGUCUGAUUAGCUAGUUGGUGAGGUUAUGGCUCACCAAGGCGACGAUCAGUAGCUGGUCUGAGAGGAUGAUCAGCCACACUGGGACUGAGACACGGCCCAGACUCCUACGGGAGGCAGCAGUGGGGAAGAUUGGACAAUGGGGCAACCCUGAUCCAGCCAUGCCGCGUGAGUGAUGACGGCCUUAGGGUUGUAAAGCUCUUUUCUCCGGGACGAUAAUGACGGUACCGGAGGAAUAAGCCCCGGCUAACUUCGUG